This 73-nucleotide transfer RNA is filed under the name Ixodes scapularis (black-legged tick). Its description in RNAcentral is "tRNA-Ser for anticodon GGA". The record is from RNAcentral. Lineage: Eukaryota; Metazoa; Arthropoda; Arachnida; Ixodida; Ixodidae.
UCCUGGUUAGCUCAGUUGGUAGAGUGGUCCAUUGGAAAUGGAGAGGUUCCGGUUUCGGUACCUCGAUCAGGUG